Panicum virgatum (switchgrass) is the source of this 502-nucleotide long non-coding RNA. RefSeq lists it as uncharacterized. The transcript is spliced from 2 exons. Lineage: Eukaryota; Viridiplantae; Streptophyta; Magnoliopsida; Poales; Poaceae. The record is from RefSeq and is a predicted model, not a curated record.
CUGCUGACAGUGGCCAACAUGAUGGAGGCAUCUUGGUUCAGAUUUGAGCCUAUUUUAAUAUCAGUUUAUAUGAAUAUUGCCAGCCGCCUCAGAAACAAUCAAAGCCUGAGCUUUCGCAUUACCAAAAACCAGGUGUUAGCCUCUACUGAAUAUUAAGCUAUCUCAGAAGCCAAAUAUGGCCCCAUUGCAGUCUAUUCCUAUGAAUAAAUAAACCUCAAAUGGUAAACUAUGCAGUUAUGGAGCACGGACUAUUUUGCCAAGGAUCAAAUGCCAUUACACUAUCUUGCUCUCUGCUCCAUGAAACCAGCCUAGCCUUGAACCAUUUGCAUGCUAUUACCAAGGAGUGCCUCCUUUAUGAUGAGUAAUCACUAAUGUACUUAUCCUAUAAUUAAUUGCUACUCUAAGAUGUCUACGACAAUGGCAUACUGGCUGUAUGAUCCUUUAAGGUAAUUAUGUGGCUGCCGACGUCAUUGUUAGCACUGAUAUUUGAGCAACAUUCCUC